UCGGAACCUAGACUUCGUUCAGAACACACGUGCUUAUUCGCGAAACUCUCCAUUGUUUUCGAAAUUGCAAGUGGUUUUUUUAUUGCGUGAACGGACUUCUUGAAAAUAUUUUUUAUGGAUUCAGGACAACAUGAUGGCGUCAGAUUGCCAACGAAUAUAUGACAGCGUGCUCAGAAUGACACCCUACUCAUCGAGAAUGUGCAACGCACCGCCGAUCAGGGAACCAACAAUUGCAUAGCCCGCAACAAGCACAACUAUACGGCGCAACGGACGGUGGAGACGAAAGUUUUGGUUAUGGUAUGAAAACUAUUUUCCACGAUUAUUUAAGUCGUUAAAAUGUGACCAAUUAUAUACCGCUAACCGACUCAAGAAGCAUGGAGUAUGGAUGAGUUUUGAGGAAGUGGCCGUCGCAUCCACAAACUUAACGAAGGCGACAAUUUCAUCAUCAUGGCGCACAUGAACCAAAACACAGGAGUUGUGGAAUUUUAAAAACCCGGUCGGAGGCAAUAAAGUUGGUUUGCAAAAUUCGCAAGGAUAAAAUAACUUUAUGCUGAAGUAGAAACUUUGAAAAUGAUACCGACAACUGAGUUCAGUUCCCUGCCAAUGAACUGGUCUCUCUAUGUUCUUUUUUGUAGUUUGUAACGGAAGAAAUAAAAUGUAUAAAUUUAAAUGCAA
This is a long non-coding RNA of Bactrocera tryoni, 675 nucleotides long. RefSeq lists it as uncharacterized. The record is from RefSeq and is a predicted model, not a curated record. The transcript has 3 exons. NCBI's taxonomy places the organism in Eukaryota, Metazoa, Arthropoda, Insecta, Diptera, Tephritidae.